This 834-nucleotide ribosomal RNA is filed under the name uncultured bacterium. RNAcentral's name for it is "bacterial SSU rRNA". It matches the Rfam family "Bacterial small subunit ribosomal RNA", at positions 97 to 929 of the family's 1533-position model. The record is from RNAcentral.
GGCAGACGGGUGAGUAACACGUGGGUAAUCUACCUUAGAGAUCGGGACAACAGUUAGAAAUGACUGCUAAUACCGGAUAAUUCAUAAUUGGAUAACUGAUUAUGCUAAAAGGAGCUUCGGCUUCACUUUAAGAUGAGCUUGCGGUGUAUUAGCUAGUUGGUAGGGUAAUGGCCUACCAAGGCAACGAUGCAUAUCCGAGCUGAGAGGCUGAACGGACACAUUGGGACUGAGACACGGCCCAAACUCCUACGGGAGACAGCAGUUAGGAAUAUUCGUCAAUGGGGGAAACCCUGAACGAGCAAUGCCGCGUGAGUGAUGAAGGUCAUUAUGAUUGUAAAACUCUGUUGUAAAGGAAGAAACCCUAUCAUAGGUAAUGAUGAUAGAUUGACUGUACUUUACCAGAAAGCCCCGGCUAACUACGUGCCAGCAGCCGCGGUAAUACGUAGGGGGCAAGCGUUAUCCGGAUUUAUUGGGUGUAAAGCGUGUGUAGGCGGUUUAUUAAGUCUAAGAUUAAAGCCCGAGGCUCAACCUCGGUUCGUCUUAGAAACUGGUAGACUUGAGUGUAGUAGAGGUAAGUGGAAUUUCUAGUGUAGCGGUUAAAUGCGUAGAUAUUAGAAGGAACAUCAGUGGCGAAGGCGACUUACUGGGCUAUUACUGACGCUGUGACACGAAAGCGUGGGGAGCAAAUAGGAUUAGAUACCCUAGUAGUCCACGCUGCAAACGAUGAGUACUAAGUGUCGGGUAACCGGUGCUGAAGUUAACACAUUAAGUACUCCACCUGAGUAGUACGGUCGCAAGGCUGAACUUAAAGGAAUUGACGGGCACCCGCACAAG